Dermacentor andersoni is the source of this 1193-nucleotide RNA transcript. RefSeq lists it as uncharacterized. NCBI's taxonomy places the organism in Eukaryota, Metazoa, Arthropoda, Arachnida, Ixodida, Ixodidae. The record is from RefSeq and is a predicted model, not a curated record.
CUGCCUGCCGUGCUCCCCUCGCGACGGAAUGCGCGCCUCCGCCGCCGCCACCGUGCAGCGCGCGGGUUCUUCGCCGUUGUUGCUUCUGCUGCCGGUGCCAGCAGCCACGGGCGCGCUGCCGCUGCUGCGGCCGUAGCAGCGAUGGAGGGGAGAGGACUACUCCCGAUACAAUUAGGAGAGCGGCUCAUUUGCGCGCGCGAUCAAUGCGAGACGCGCAACACGAGACCUAAAUCACGCUCCUCGGCCCGCCGCCGCUCCUUGGAUCGUAGCAGACGAAAAAUGUGCAACCGCAUGCGUCCUGACAUCGUGAGCGCGCCGUACCACACCGGCGCGUCGUAAUGGAGCUCUGGGAUCGCAAAGCGAGGAAGGACCGGCCAUGACCCGAGGAGUAGCAGAGGCGCGCAGCAUUUCCUCACCUCGCUUUUUCUUACAUUUCGCCAGAUGCCAUUUGGAUGCUUGGUAUAUGCUUUGCUUCCACUUCGGAGCGCGGUGCGAGACCUCGCUGCCCUGGGGGCGAAACGGCGCGGUCGGUGACGCGUCGCGAUCAACGGCUGGCUGGCUGCUGCCCGACGAAGCGGCGGCUACGUGACAGCGCAGAGCAAGUGGCAGCUGGAUGGGCGCCCGGGAGAGUCACCGACAGCCGCGAACAAUGGCUCCUCUCGGGUGCGCAGUUGCCGUCGAGUUUCCUGUCCUCGGAACAGAGCUCUGCGUGGCUUGCUUCGAGUUGUAUUACCGAAAGGGGUCUCAACAUUGUGGAGAAGCGGGGGACUGUGUUUGCACCUACAUUUCCCACAGAUGUAAAGAAGAACCUUGCUGACCGGUUCCAGACAACCAGUGAGCACCAUGAUCACCAAGGCAGUCACUUAGUAGGCUGCCGACUGCCAUCGCAGAUCCACCGCGCCUCUUCUGGAGUUGUCUCGUACUGCUCCCAUCAAGGCGCCACUACCUGUCAACAGUGGGGUUGCAUCCAAGCUGCUCACCUGUCUGCCAUCUGUGGAUCUAUCGCCCGCACCGUAGUUCACUGUUGGACUUCACCGGGCAAAACCAACUAUAAAUGAGACUGUAGGAGACCUCCCACGUUCAGUAGAACCGGGGCUUACCCUGGGAUACUGUUUCCUGAUUGCCGUUGCCCUUGCUGCCCUCGUCGGCGUCUGCUUCGCUGGCGUCGUCUCCUACGGCGGCUACGGAGGUGG